CAGCACUAAGUGGGUGGUAAACUCCAUCUAAAACUAAAUAUAACCAUGAGACCGAUAGCAAACAAGUACCGUGAGGGAAAGUUGAAAAGAACUCUGAAUAGAGAGUUAAAUAGUACGUGAAACUGCUUAGAGGUUAAGCCCGAUGAACCUGAAUAUCCGUUGUAGAAAAUUCAUCAUCAAUUGUGUGAUAUUUUUUAAAAUAUCGUAUCAAUGGUGUGCACUUUUUCUACUUAAGGACAUUGUAAUCCGUUAAUGUUUGAAUGCGUAUUAUAAGAACAUUUACAAUAGUUUUUACAUUAUUUAACUUGUUAAAUAUGUUUAAAUGUGAAUGCUUCGAAUAUGCCAUUGACGGAUUUUUACGUAUAUUGCACUUAAAUCCUUCGGGAUUUUAUAAUAAUAUGAUUAUCAUUGAUUUUUGUAUUUAUUAUAUGUGCAUAUAUGAUUGACAAUGCGAAAGAUUCAGGAUACCUUCGGGACCC
This 479-nucleotide ribosomal RNA is filed under the name Megaselia sp. MEG-225. Its description in RNAcentral is "eukaryotic LSU rRNA". It matches the Rfam family "Eukaryotic large subunit ribosomal RNA", at positions 283 to 650 of the family's 3401-position model. The record is from RNAcentral. Lineage: Eukaryota; Metazoa; Arthropoda; Insecta; Diptera; Phoridae.